Molecule: ribosomal RNA, 490 nt
Filed under: Hyla helenae
Lineage: Eukaryota; Metazoa; Chordata; Amphibia; Anura; Hylidae
Description: partial 12S ribosomal RNA
Rfam family: Bacterial small subunit ribosomal RNA
Source: RNAcentral
GCCCAACCGUAAACUUUAAAUUACAUCUAUAUCGCCCGGGAACUACGAGCAAAGCUUAAAACCCAAAGGACUUGACGGUACCCCACAUCCACCUAGAGGAGCCUGUCCUACAAUCGAUAACCCCCGCUUAACCUCACCAUUUUUAGCCUAUCAGCCUGUAUACCUCCGUCGUCAGCUUACCACGUGAGCGACCCUUAGUGAGCUUGAUGCCCAUACGCCAACACGUCAGGUCAAGGUGCAGCAGAUAAAAUGGGAAGAGAUGGGCUACACUCUCUACUCUAGAAAACACGGAAGAUUAUUUAUGAAACCUAAUCAGAAGGCGGAUUUAGUAGUAAAAAGAGACAAUAGUGCUCUUUUUAACAUGGCACUGGGGUGUGUACACACCGCCCGUCACCCUCUUCAAGGCUAGUAUAAAGUCCCUGACACACUUAAGCAUUAUAGAAGAGGCAAGUCGUAACAUGGUAAGUAUACCGGAAGGUGUGCUUGGAAA